RNAcentral lists this ribosomal RNA (781 nucleotides) under uncultured Actinomycetes bacterium. RNAcentral's name for it is "bacterial SSU rRNA". It matches the Rfam family "Bacterial small subunit ribosomal RNA", at positions 66 to 860 of the family's 1533-position model. The record is from RNAcentral. Lineage: Bacteria; Bacillati; Actinomycetota; Actinomycetes.
ACGGUGAUGGUAGCUGCUCCGCCGGAUCAGUGGCGAACGGGUGAGUAACACGUGGGCAACCUGCCCCAGACUCUGGGAUAACUCCUCGAAAGAGGCGCUAAUACCGGAUACGAACUCCUUGGGCAUCCUCGGAGUUGGAAAGUUUUUCGGUCUGGGAUGGGCCCGCGGCCUAUCAGCUUGUUGGUGAGGUAACGGCUCACCAAGGCGACGACGGGUAGCCGGCCUGAGAGGGCGACCGGCCACACUGGGACUGAGACACGGCCCAGACUCCUACGGGAGGCAGCAGUGGGGAAUAUUGCGCAAUGGGCGAAAGCCUGACGCAGCAACGCCGCGUGAGGGAUGAAGGCCUUCGGGUUGUAAACCUCUUUCAGCAGGGAAGAAGCGAAAGUGACGGUACCUGCAGAAGAAGCACCGGCUAACUACGUGCCAGCAGCCGCGGUAAUACGUAGGGUGCAAGCGUUGUCCGGAUUUAUUGGGCGUAAAGAGCUCGUAGGCGGUUAGUCACGUCGGAUGUGAAAUCCCAGGGCUUAACCCUGGGCCUGCAUUCGAUACGGGCUAACUAGAGUGUUGUAGGGGAGACUGGAACUCCUGGUGUAGCGGUGAAAUGCGCAGAUAUCAGGAAGAACACCGGUGGCGAAGGCGGGUCUCUGGGCAACUACUGACGCUGAGGAGCGAAAGCGUGGGGAGCAAACAGGAUUAGAUACCCUGGUAGUCCACGCCGUAAACGGUGGGCGCUAGGUGUGGGGACCAUUCCACGGUCUCCGUGCCGCAGCUAACGCAU